GACAUUUUUUUUUAACAUCAACAACUUCUUAGUCCCUCCCCCUCUUUCUGCUGAAGCCCAAAACAGUCUCCUAAGCCCUUCAGACUUUC
Molecule: long non-coding RNA, 89 nt
Organism: Etheostoma spectabile (orangethroat darter)
Lineage: Eukaryota; Metazoa; Chordata; Actinopteri; Perciformes; Percidae
Exons: 3
Source: RefSeq, a predicted model, not a curated record